Molecule: long non-coding RNA, 1459 nt
Organism: Saccostrea echinata
Lineage: Eukaryota; Metazoa; Mollusca; Bivalvia; Ostreida; Ostreidae
Exons: 4
Source: RefSeq, a predicted model, not a curated record
UGUUUUAUUGUUGGACAGAAGGAAAAAGAGUGUCACGAAGAAGGGAACUGCUGUCAUUAUUAGCUUGGAAUGGAAUUUGUAUUUUGACAAAAGAUGCAGACAUUUUAAGACCCGGAAUGCUCACAAAAAGGACAAGAGCUCAGAGCUGUAUGGAAAUUUACACAAAAGGUCAGUUAACGGAGUAAGCUGAUACGGAGGAUAAUAUAUCAAAGGCAGCAUAGGCGUCCAAACUCCUGUUCAAGGUGCUUUUAAUCAGAAGCUUAAGAGACAAAAGACGAGCCAUUGACAAGGCAAAACUGAAUGUUUUAUAUGAAAUUGAGCAAGAAAAGUUUGAAGUGUCUUUGGGAAUGAUCAACAUCAAACUUGCUGAGCUUUUGAAGCCGUUGUACCAAAAGUGAAUCCAUUCGUGACACCAAUUAUCUGACCACCCUCUAGCAGAACCAGUGAGGAAGUGAUUCUAGCCAAUACUUCAGAAGUUUAGGACCUUCAAUAAUUAGGAUCUUGGGGCAUGUUGGGGAAAAAAAUAGCAUGUGUUGAUUUUAUGGGAUCUUCCAAAUAUAGUUGUGUAGUACAAUGUAGAUAGUUGUGUACUUAAUACCUAUGUUUGUCACUCUAGUCAUUAACUUUGUAUGGUAAAUGUAUAUGGACCACUGGAAGAUCAUUGUAACUGCAUACAAAUGUUGCAAAUAUACCCUGUUAAGGCUUUAGUGACCUUUCCCAAGGUCAUUCAAUGAAGCAAAAGGUCAUAAUUAAUGGGGUUUUUUUUAAUCUAUUUUGUUUUAUUAUCAAAAAGUGUCAUAUGUUUGAGAUUACUCUAGGUACAAAGGAUUUUCUUUAAUCAAAAGUCAUUUGUUUCUCAUGCAGACUGUAAUUUACUACAUGUACAUGCAUGUAUAUUAUAAUAAUUCUCAUUAAUUAAACCAAGGUGAUCAUCCAGUAAUGAUAUUUUUCUGUGGAUUUAUAACAUUGUUUAAAUAACCUUUGAUGUAAAAUACUUUCAGUGAUAAUACUUUUUAAAAUUUGUGCUUUCAUUAUACAUAGAAGUGUGUAUGCAAUAUUUGUCCCCAAACACAUUGUAAAGCAAAAAUGAUUUUUUAUUUUGAAAAUAUAGAUUUGAUUUAUGAAAAAUUGUGAUGUAGUCAUUUUUUUUGUAAUUAUUUGGCCCUUAAAUUAUUUUGAUUAUUCCAGUUUUUUGUAUUUUCCUGGAAUUCCUUGGAUUUCCGUGGAAUUCCAUAGAUUUCCAAAUAUCCUGGAAUUCCAUGGAUUUCCAGCUAUUUCCGCAAAUUUCUAUUCUGGCAUUGUUCCGCUCUUUUCCAGGCUAGAUUUGAAAUUCCAUACCAUUCCGAAAAAGUUCCGUCCCAAUACUCUUGAGAAUUCCUUGGAAUUCCAUGGAACACUUUUUCCAUGGAAUUCCACGGAAUUUGUUAUGGAAUUCCACGGAUCUUACGGAAAAUCUACA